AGCUUAAGGUCAUAAGGGUGUUCUAGUGAUGAAAGAGCUUAUGUUUCCCCUAGAAACGCGUUGAAAAAGGAAAAUUAAACUUACUUUAUGUAGUUCAUCCGAGUAAUGCUUCCUCCCUCUCUGCCUCCGAGUUGUUUGUCGAAAAGUAGUACGUAAACAAGAAGCGGACUUUAUUUUUCCUGUGUGCAGUGAACCAGUUUUGCAGGAUGAGCACUGCAAAUGAAGUUAAGCCAGAAGAUGCUAAACCGGUAUCUGAAAAAAAUAUAUAUUAUUGUGAAGUUUGUAAAGUUCCAUGUAUGAGUUCUAUAAGUCUUCAGUCACACUAUCGUGGUGCAAAGCAUAGAAAGGUAAUCUUUUCCCAUAUUGUGUGCAUAUAUGCAAAUUUGUCAUAAAUCUGGAAUUCUUGUAAAAUUGAGUAAUUGAUUUUGCAUGUCUGCAAGUGCUUAUGUAACUCAUUGGUAGCUCUGUAACACCAAUUUGCUUGAAAAGUCUCAAGAAAAAAUUUUGAGGUGGUAUCUCAUAACUGUUUUGUACAGCAUGUAACUGUUGAAAGGUACAAUAACUAAUGGUAAGCUUAAGUGUGCUAGCUGUAGGUUAAUGUUUAAAUUACACAGACAUUGCAGGAAGUGAAAGAAUGGAAACUUCAGGUUUGAAUUUAGUUGAUAAAAAUACUGUUCUGUUUUCAAAGUCCACAUAACUGACUUGUAUUUUGGUUAGUACUGACCUGUAUUUGCAUUCUGUAAACUAAAAAACAGCUUAUUAGAAUUUUUUUGAUGUAUGGUAACAUCGUUUCCUGAUUGCAUACAGCAGUUUAGUAGGCAUAACUACAUACCACAUGGUUCUAUUUGUUUGAAGUAUCUCAAUAGCAACUUCUGAUUUUCCUGUCUUUGCUUGUAUGUGUUUAAAUGGUUAGACAACUUUCUGCGAGUCUGAGAAGAGAGCUUUUGACUCAUGAUUGACUGACAAUCAAAUUUUGUUUUUUUAAACUUCACCUUCUCACUCAACAAAGUUUUGAGGCAUAGUCAGUUGUCCACGUUUUCUCCUGUAACUUAGGAU
RNAcentral lists this long non-coding RNA (1056 nucleotides) under Apteryx owenii (little spotted kiwi). RNAcentral's name for it is "lncRNA (ENSAOWG00000017778.1)". The record is from RNAcentral. Lineage: Eukaryota; Metazoa; Chordata; Aves; Apterygiformes; Apterygidae.